Molecule: ribosomal RNA, 452 nt
Filed under: uncultured bacterium
Lineage: Bacteria
Description: bacterial SSU rRNA
Rfam family: Bacterial small subunit ribosomal RNA
Source: RNAcentral
GAUGAACGCUGGCGGCGUGCUUAACACAUGCAAGUCGAACGAUCGCAAGAUAGUGGCGCACGGGUGAGGAACACGUAGCUAACCUGCCUUCGGGUCUGGGAUAACGUCGCGAAAGUGACGCUAAGACCGGAUAAGCUCCCGGGUUGUAGAGACCAGAGAGAAAAGGGGCAAGACGCCUGAAGAGGGGGCUGCGGCGCAUCAGCUAGUUGGUGGGGUGGAUGGCCUACCAAGGCGACGACGGGUAGCCGGCCUGAGAGGGUGUCCGGCCACACUGGAACUGAGACACGGUCCAGACUCCUACGGGAGGCAGCAGUAAGGAAUAUUGCUCAAUGGGGGAAACCCUGAAGCAGCAACGCCGCGUGAAGGAUGAAAUACUUUUGUAUGUAAACUUCUGUAAGAUGGGAAAAUAUUCUCCUCGGGAGAAUUGAUUGUACCAUCAGAGUAAGCCCCGG